This is a non-coding RNA of Pelobates cultripes (western spadefoot toad), 624 nucleotides long. The record is from the annotation of a GenBank genome assembly. NCBI's taxonomy places the organism in Eukaryota, Metazoa, Chordata, Amphibia, Anura, Pelobatidae.
UUUUAUUUUUCAGAAAAGGGCGUGUUUACAUUGCUGCCUAGUAACUCCUAGUGACAGUGACUCAGGCGGCUACUAGAGGGUCCUAUGUUCAGUGUCUCAAGCGUCUUAUUAGGCCCUGCGAUUUCGUCAUUUUGAUGGAAAAGGGGGCGUGGCUUGGUUUUAUAUGUUGACUAUAGUGAUCCUUUAAAGGUGACCUGUCAUGCCCCAAACAAUUUAUGCCCAUUAGUUUGUGUGUAAGAUUCUUAUUAUAUAUUUUGCUAGCAAAUGUAUAGAUUAGAAGGAAAAACCUUUUUAAAAAUAGGUUUUGCUCCCACCUGUCAGGAAAUGCCAAGGCGUUCCGAGGCAUUCACUGGCAAGGGAGACCAGAAAAAGGAGGUCCCUAUGCUCUACACCUAUAGCAACUCAGGCUGGAUAUGUAGUAUAGGAAUGGAGUGAUGUCACUCCGUUUCAACACCAGUACACUGGAAACAAAGCCAGCGUGGCUACAUCGCUGAGGAGAAUUAUCCUGCUUGGGGAUGUGUCCAAUGCAGGACAAAUCAAAGAAGACUGCUGGAGGAGUGAAGGACGACCCUGAAGUAGGUGUUAUACAAUAAGUAACAUCCAUGAAGCAGCGAUGGAACGGAG